This 69-nucleotide transfer RNA is filed under the name Chitra indica. RNAcentral describes it as "tRNA-Pro". It matches the Rfam family "tRNA". From Rfam's summary of the family: Transfer RNA (tRNA) molecules are approximately 80 nucleotides in length. The record is from RNAcentral. Lineage: Eukaryota; Metazoa; Chordata; Testudines; Trionychidae.
CAAAGGAUAGUUUAGUUAAAAUUCCGGUUUUGGGGGCCGGGGAAGAAGGUUAGAAUCCUUUUCUUUUGA